This 1542-nucleotide ribosomal RNA is filed under the name Streptococcus pyogenes. RNAcentral describes it as "16S ribosomal RNA". It matches the Rfam family "Bacterial small subunit ribosomal RNA". The record is from RNAcentral. Lineage: Bacteria; Bacillati; Bacillota; Bacilli; Lactobacillales; Streptococcaceae. RNAcentral also lists the same sequence under 4 other names.
AAAUUGAAGAGUUUGAUCAUGGCUCAGAUUGAACGCUGGCGGCAGGCCUAACACAUGCAAGUCGAACGGUAACAGGAAGCAGCUUGCUGCUUUGCUGACGAGUGGCGGACGGGUGAGUAAUGUCUGGGAAACUGCCUGAUGGAGGGGGAUAACUACUGGAAACGGUGGCUAAUACCGCAUAACGUCGCAAGACCAAAGAGGGGGACCUUCGGGCCUCUUGCCAUCAGAUGUGCCCAGAUGGGAUUAGCUAGUUGGUGAGGUAACGGCUCACCAAGGCGACGAUCCCUAGCUGGUCUGAGAGGAUGACCAGCCACACUGGAACUGAGACACGGUCCAGACUCCUACGGGAGGCAGCAGUGGGGAAUAUUGCACAAUGGGCGCAAGCCUGAUGCAGCCAUGCCGCGUGUAUGAAGAAGGCCUUCGGGUUGUAAAGUACUUUCAGCGGGGAGGAAGGUGUUGUGGUUAAUAACCGCAGCAAUUGACGUUACCCGCAGAAGAAGCACCGGCUAACUCCGUGCCAGCAGCCGCGGUAAUACGGAGGGUGCAAGCGUUAAUCGGAAUUACUGGGCGUAAAGCGCACGCAGGCGGUCUGUCAAGUCGGAUGUGAAAUCCCCGGGCUCAACCUGGGAACUGCAUUCGAAACUGGCAGGCUUGAGUCUUGUAGAGGGGGGUAGAAUUCCAGGUGUAGCGGUGAAAUGCGUAGAGAUCUGGAGGAAUACCGGUGGCGAAGGCGGCCCCCUGGACAAAGACUGACGCUCAGGUGCGAAAGCGUGGGGAGCAAACAGGAUUAGAUACCCUGGUAGUCCACGCCGUAAACGAUGUCUACUUGGAGGUUGUGCCCUUGAGGCGUGGCUUCCGGAGCUAACGCGUUAAGUAGACCGCCUGGGGAGUACGGCCGCAAGGUUAAAACUCAAAUGAAUUGACGGGGGCCCGCACAAGCGGUGGAGCAUGUGGUUUAAUUCGAUGCAACGCGAAGAACCUUACCUGGUCUUGACAUCCACAGAACUUUCCAGAGAUGGACUGGUGCCUUCGGGAACUGUGAGACAGGUGCUGCAUGGCUGUCGUCAGCUCGUGUUGUGAAAUGUUGGGUUAAGUCCCGCAACGAGCGCAACCCUUAUCCUUUGUUGCCAGCGGUUAGGCCGGGAACUCAAAGGAGACUGCCAGUGAUAAACUGGAGGAAGGUGGGGAUGACGUCAAGUCAUCAUGGCCCUUACGACCAGGGCUACACACGUGCUACAAUGGCGCAUACAAAGAGAAGCGACCUCGCGAGAGCAAGCGGACCUCAUAAAGUGCGUCGUAGUCCGGAUUGGAGUCUGCAACUCGACUCCAUGAAGUCGGAAUCGCUAGUAAUCGUGGAUCAGAAUGCCACGGUGAAUACGUUCCCGGGCCUUGUACACACCGCCCGUCACACCAUGGGAGUGGGUUGCAAAAGAAGUAGGUAGCUUAACCUUCGGGAGGGCGCUUACCACUUUGUGAUUCAUGACUGGGGUGAAGUCGUAACAAGGUAACCGUAGGGGAACCUGCGGUUGGAUCACCUCCUUA